AAGCCGGCCCCCCCACCUGAAAAAGAAAAGCGUUAUCCGGAAUCAUUGGGUUUAUUCCCUGACAAAAAGCGGGAUAAUAAGUCAGUGGUGAAAGUCUGCAGCUUAACUGUAGAAUUGCCAUUGAUAUUGCUGUUCUUGAAUUAUUAUGAAGUGGUUGGAAUGAGUAGUGUAGCGGUGAAAUGCAUAGAUAUUACUCAGAACACCUAUUGCGAAGGCAGAUCACUAAUAAUAUAUUGACGCUGAUGGACGAAAGCGUAGGUAGCGAACAGGAUUAGAUACCCUGGUAGUCCACGCCGUAAACGAUGGAUACUAGCUGUUUGGAUUUCGGUCUGAGCGGCUAAGCGAAAGUGAUAUUUUAUCUUAUCUGGGGAGUACGUUCGCAAGAAUGAAACUCAAAGGAAUUGACGGGGGCCUGCACUUUCGGUGGAGUU
This 431-nucleotide ribosomal RNA is filed under the name uncultured Christiangramia sp. RNAcentral's name for it is "bacterial SSU rRNA". It matches the Rfam family "Bacterial small subunit ribosomal RNA", at positions 401 to 939 of the family's 1533-position model. Lineage: Bacteria; Pseudomonadati; Bacteroidota; Flavobacteriia; Flavobacteriales; Flavobacteriaceae. The record is from RNAcentral.